This 485-nucleotide ribosomal RNA is filed under the name uncultured bacterium. RNAcentral describes it as "partial 16S ribosomal RNA". It matches the Rfam family "Bacterial small subunit ribosomal RNA", at positions 30 to 507 of the family's 1533-position model. The record is from RNAcentral.
AUUGAACGCUGGCGGCAGGCUUAACACAUGCGAGUCGAGCGGGGAAAGGUAGCUUGCUCCCUGACCUAGCGGCGGACGGGUGAGUAAUGCUUAGGAAUCUGCCUAUUAGUGGGGGACAACAUCUCGAAAGGGAUGCUAAUACCGCAUACGUCCUACGGGAGAAAGCAGGGGACCUUCGGGCCCUGCGCUAAUAGAUGAGCCUAAGUCGGAUUAGCUAGUUGGUGGGGUAAAGGCCUACCAAGGCGACGAUCUGUAGCGGGUCUGAGAGGAUGAUCCGCCACACUGGGACUGAGACACGGCCCAGACUCCUACGGGAGGCAGCAGUGGGGAAUAUUGGACAAUGGGGGGAACCCUGAUCCAGCCAUGCCGCGUGUGUGAAGAAGGCCUUUUGGUUGUAAAGCACUUUAAGCGAGGAGGAGGCUACCGAGAUUAAUACUCUUGGAUAGUGGACGUUACUCGCAGAAUAAGCACCGGCUAACUCUGUG